RNAcentral lists this ribosomal RNA (272 nucleotides) under uncultured bacterium. RNAcentral describes it as "partial 16S ribosomal RNA". It matches the Rfam family "Bacterial small subunit ribosomal RNA", at positions 524 to 794 of the family's 1533-position model. The record is from RNAcentral.
CACGAACCCGUACGAACGUUAUUCGGAAUUACUGGGCUUAAAGGGUUUGUAGGCGGCCUUGUAAGUCAGGUGUGAAAGCCCUCGGCUCAACCGAGGAACAGCGCUUGAUACUGCAAGGCUUGAGGGAGACAGGGGUAAGCGGAACUGAUGGUGGAGCGGUGAAAUGCGUUGAGAUCGGAAGGAACGCCGGUGGCGAAAGCGGUAUGCUGGAUCUUUUCUGACGCUGAGGCGCGAAAGCUGGGGGAGCGAACGGGAUUAGAUACCCUAGUAGU